AGUGCUUUGAUCCAUGGCUCAGGAUGAACGCUAGCGGCAGGCUUAAUACAUGCAAGUCGAGGGGCAGCAUGACUGUAGCAAUACAGUUGAUGGCGACCGGCAAACGGGUGCGGAACACGUACAGAACCUUCCUUCGAGCGGGGAAUAGCCCAGAGAAAUUUGGAUUAAUACCCCAUAGUAUAUUGAGGAGGCAUCUCUUUAAUAUUAAAGAUUUAUCACUUGAAGAUGGCUGUGCGGCUGAUUAGGUAGUUGGCGGGGUAACGGCCCACCAAGCCUACGAUCAGUAACUGGUGUGAGAGCACGACCAGUCACACGGGCACUGAGACCACGGGCCCGACUCCUACGGGAGGCAGCAGUAAGGAAUAUUGGGCAAUGGAGGCAACUCUGACCCAGCCAUGCCGCGUGGAGGAUGAAGGCCCUCUGGGUUGUAAACUUCUUUUAUAUGGGACGAAAAAGGGCCUUUCUAGGUCAACUGACGGUACCAUUUGAAUAAGCACCGGCUAACUCCGUGCCAGCAGCCGCGGUAAUACGGAGGGUGCAAGCGUUAUCCGGAUUUACUGGGUUUAAAGGGUGCGUAGGUGGAUUGGUAAGUCAGUGGUGAAAUCUCCGGGCUUAACUCGGAAACUGCCAUUGAUACUAUCAGUCUUGAAUAUUGUGGAGGUCAGCGGAAUAUGUCAUGUAGCGGUGAAAUGCUUAGAUAUGACAUAGAACACCAAUUGCGAAGGCAGCUGACUACGCAUAUAUUGACACUGAGGCACGAAAGCGUGGGGAUCAAACAGGAUUAGAUACCCUGGUAGUCCACGCCCUAAACUAUGGAUACUCGACAUACGCGAUACACAGUGUGUGUCUGAGCGAAAGCAUUAAGUAUCCCACCUGGGAAGUACGAUCGCAAGAUUGAAACUCAAAGGAAUUGACGG
This 917-nucleotide ribosomal RNA is filed under the name uncultured bacterium. RNAcentral's name for it is "bacterial SSU rRNA". It matches the Rfam family "Bacterial small subunit ribosomal RNA", at positions 1 to 916 of the family's 1533-position model. The record is from RNAcentral.